RNAcentral lists this ribosomal RNA (703 nucleotides) under uncultured bacterium. RNAcentral's name for it is "bacterial SSU rRNA". It matches the Rfam family "Bacterial small subunit ribosomal RNA", at positions 99 to 819 of the family's 1533-position model. The record is from RNAcentral.
CGGACGGGUGAGUAACGCGUGAGCAACCUGCCCCUUGGAACGGGAUAGUGUCUGGAGACGGACAGUAAUACCGUAUAACGUAUUUUUACCGCAUGAUAGAAAUACCAAAACUGAGGUGCCGAAGGAUGGGCUCGCGUCUGAUUAGAUAGUUGGUGGGGUAACGGCCUACCAAGUCGACGAUCAGUAGCCGGACUGAGAGGUUGAACGGCCACAUUGGGACUGAGACACGGCCCAGACUCCUACGGGAGGCAGCAGUGGGGAAUAUUGCACAAUGGGGGAAACCCUGAUGCAGCAACGCCGCGUGAAGGAAGACGGUUUUCGGAUUGUAAACUUCUGUUCUUAGUGAAGAAUAAUGACGGUAGCUAAGGAGCAAGCCACGGCUAACUACGUGCCAGCAGCCGCGGUAAUACGUAGGUGGCAAGCGUUGUCCGGAAUUACUGGGUGUAAAGGGAGCGUAGGCGGGAUGCCAAGUCAGCUGUGAAAACUAUGGGCUUAACCUGUAGACUGCAGUUGAAACUGGUAUUCUUGAGUGAAGUAGAGGUUGGCGGAAUUCCGAGUGUAGCGGUGAAAUGCGUAGAUAUUCGGAGGAACACCGGUGGCGAAGGCGGCCAACUGGGCUUUAACUGACGCUGAGGCUCGAAAGUGUGGGGAGCAAACAGGAUUAGAUACCCUGGUAGUCCACACUGUAAACGAUGAUAACUAG